RNAcentral lists this ribosomal RNA (484 nucleotides) under uncultured bacterium. RNAcentral's name for it is "partial 16S ribosomal RNA". It matches the Rfam family "Bacterial small subunit ribosomal RNA", at positions 29 to 507 of the family's 1533-position model. The record is from RNAcentral.
AUUGAACGCUGGCGGCAUGCUUUACACAUGCAAGUCGAACGGCAGCGCGGGCUUCUGCCUGGCGGCGAGUGGCGAACGGGUGAGUAAUGCAUCGGAACGUGCCCAGUAGUGGGGGAUAGCCCGGCGAAAGCCGGAUUAAUACCGCAUACGACCUGAGGGUGAAAGCGGGGGUCCGAAAGGCCUCUCGCUUUUUUAUCGGCCGAUGUCGGAUUAGCUAGUUGGUUGGGUAAAGGCUUACCAAGGCGACGAUCCGUAGCUGGUGUGAGAGGACGACCAGCCACACUGGGACUGAGACACGGCCAAGACGCCUACGGGAGGCAGCAGUGGGGAAUUUUGGACAAUGGGGGCAACCCUGAUCCAGCCAGGCCGCGUGCGGGAAGAAGGCCUUCGGGUUGUAAACCGCUUUUGUUCGGGAAGAAAUACUCUGGGCUAAUACCCCGGGGGGAUGACGGUACCGGAAGAAUAAGCACCGGCUAACUACGUG